UCUUUUUGGUGAUUAAAACAUAUGACAAGUGUGAUGUAACCCAUUGUAUUCUGUUAAACCAUGUGGAUAAUCAAGGCAUUUGUAUGAGAGAA
This 92-nucleotide small nucleolar RNA is filed under the name Hordeum vulgare subsp. vulgare (domesticated barley). RNAcentral's name for it is "Plant small nucleolar RNA SNOR75". It matches the Rfam family "Plant small nucleolar RNA SNOR75". Rfam says of the family: U15 is a member of the C/D class of snoRNA which contain the C (UGAUGA) and D (CUGA) box motifs. The record is from Rfam by way of RNAcentral. Lineage: Eukaryota; Viridiplantae; Streptophyta; Magnoliopsida; Poales; Poaceae.